This 75-nucleotide transfer RNA is filed under the name Nanobdellota archaeon. Its description in RNAcentral is "tRNA-Arg". It matches the Rfam family "tRNA". From Rfam's summary of the family: Transfer RNA (tRNA) molecules are approximately 80 nucleotides in length. Lineage: Archaea; Nanobdellati; Nanobdellota. The record is from RNAcentral.
GCCCGAGUAGCUCAGUCUGGAUAGAGCAUCAGGUUCCUAACCUGGUUGUCAUAGGUUCAAAUCCUAUCUCGGGCA